Molecule: long non-coding RNA, 248 nt
Organism: Arabidopsis thaliana (thale cress)
Lineage: Eukaryota; Viridiplantae; Streptophyta; Magnoliopsida; Brassicales; Brassicaceae
Product: other RNA
Exons: 1
Source: RefSeq
UUCAUUGGGUGGUAUAGUAUUUGUUUUGUUUCGAGUAAGGAUUGAGAAAAUGUACACAAAGUUCAAAAUGGGUGAAAACAAAUUACUAGCAAUAAAUAUGAGAAGUAAAAGUGGGGGUUAAUAUUACAAGACUCACUGCAUGCACAUGACUUGGAUCUUGUGAAACUUUCUUUCCCAUUUCAUAAACAUCAGAUCCAAUGCCUACCUAUAGGCUAUAGAAUGUUGAACCUUUCCCACUCACACAAGUU